Molecule: long non-coding RNA, 3539 nt
Organism: Ziziphus jujuba (common jujube)
Lineage: Eukaryota; Viridiplantae; Streptophyta; Magnoliopsida; Rosales; Rhamnaceae
Exons: 3
Source: RefSeq, a predicted model, not a curated record
AUCGAUUUAAAUUGUUUGUAUUGUAUUUUACCGAUCCUGGUUCAGGCCACAAAAACACAUGGCAAGCAGAAGAUAAACAACUUCUUCACCAGAUCUAUGAGGCAAAUUAGGAAGUUACCUAUCUAAACGCGAAGCUUGCUGAUUUUGAGGUGGUGGAGGCCGAUUCGAGGGUUCGGAUCCUCUACCUGGAGAGAGCGCUCGUUGAGAGGGGUGAGAUGAUCAAGUUCAUGUCGAGGACUAGUGGUGGUGGUGGGUCGAAGUUUGAAGAACAUUCCGUUGAUGGUUGUCGAACAAAGCAGUUAGCUACCACCUGUUUUUGCUUAUAAAUAGAUUGCGAAUGCCGUGAAUGAAGGAAAGCUUGUACCGGAGGAGAUAACAUUUGGGUUUUGGCCUAAGAGGUUGGAAGAAAGUUACUGCAAAGGUGAAACUAGCUUGAUUCUUGAGGGAAUCCUAAAAACCAUGAUUCAAGCUGUGAGUUCCAAGAAAAUGGGAUUUUUGUUUCACCUGUAAGUUCACAGCACAUAUAUAUAUAUAUAGAUAUAUUUAUUUUGGGUUUUGAGUGCCUAUUUUGGGGUUGGAAGUCUUGUUAUCUAAUGCUAUUUCAGCGAUUGAAUUUUAAAUUUUUGAUUGAAAUGUCACUUUUUUUGUGAGUUUGACUGAUGGAUUGCUUUUCUUAUUGAUAAAGGCUUUAAGCUUUCUUUUUUUUUUUUGUUUUUUUUUUUUUUUUAAAUAUUGUUCUUUGUGCAAGAUAUUCUUGACUAAAUUGCAGAUAUUGAUUUAGUUGUAAUAUGGUCAAAAGCAUAGAAAUGCAUGUAGUCUUUCCUCAUGGAGAAGUUCUUAGCAUGAGCAAUUCCUUUGCUACUAAUGCUGGAGGUCCCUGGAAGAAAAAAAUUCAUUUCUAUGUAGAGCAGAUACUAUCUUUUAGUUUAAAUUUCCAUUCAAUAUGAUUAGCAAUUUGCAUCAUCAAGGUGCUAGAAAAACUUGAACUAGUUUUGUUGAUUCAGAUUUCUGAAGAAACUAAAAUUUGAGAUUUUUUUCCCCCUAAGCUUGGAGUUUAAUUUAUGGUUCUCGUUUUGAAUUUUGUACGUAUAUUUUUUUGUUUUGUUUUGUUCAGAUUAGAUGUAUUUCCACCUUUUUGCAGCUUGACUUAUGAUUAUUGGUAAUUGAAUUUCACUUUUGUUUUUGGUUCUUGAAUGUUUCUUUAUUCUUUCGUAAAAUUGGAAUUAGUAUGUCCUUAUACUUAAUUUCCAUUUUUUGUCUUUGUUUCUAACCUAGGCCUAGGCCCUCCUUAAUUAUGGAAACUAGGAAUUUUGGCUAAUGAACAUCAACUAUUAAAUUAUCUCUGUCAUAUUGCAAUUAUUUCUUCGAUAUUAUAAUCAAACCAUGAAUUUGAAAGACAUGGGGCAUUUGUGGAAGCAGAUGUAAUUUCAAAACUGAAUCUUACAUGCACUAGAGCUUAUGUUAAAUGUAAUUUACCAAUCUCUUAUUAUCAAUAAGAAAAUUCCAUAAAAAUUUGAUUGAUUACUUGGUUCUUAGAUUCUUGUCUACAAGUAACAAUUUUGUUUUACAUGUCUAUUUAAGCAUUUUUACAUUUUUACUUUAUAUGUGUUUUCAAGCAUCAUCUCUUCUUUGACUCUCAUAAUCAUGCAGGUUUCCCUAGUAAACUAUACCAGAUGUUGACAAUUUGGAACCAUGGUUGGAGUUUCAUAGUCUAGCUACAUCUAGGAGUUGAUUGGUGUGGUAAUGAUGUAUGCCACCAUGUAUACUAUAUAUGCAGCUGUUAAUUAUUAACUUUCAUCAAACUUAUGAUUAGAAGCUAACUAUGAAUAAAUAUAUUGGACGUAGUUCAGUUUCCAGAGAACUAAGCAUUUUCUGAUACUAACCCGUCAUAUGCUCUAGACCCAUUUAUAUGAUGGAUAGGCUAAGUGGCAAAUCAAAGUAUCAUGAUUUUAGCAUAAGUUUAUCACUUGCAGCGAAUUCACUGAUGGAAAAAAUGGUAUCAAAUAGAUGUUCAAUUAUCACUUGGUUUAAAAUUUACUCAUCUGGGUAUUUUCUUAAUAUCUUUUUGACUGUGUUAGUGAGGAUGCACAUGUUUCUAUUUUACCUUCAUAUUGUUGACUGCUCACAUAGGCCUUGUUUGGUAUGAUGUAUUGCCAUGUAUCACCCUGGAUAUGUAUUAUGUAAUAAUAUCUUUGGCAGUUGAAGACACAUGAAGGGUAUUGUAUUACAUAAUACCCUUCCGUGUUUUUCAACAGGGUGAAGGUGUAUUGUCUAAUACACUACUUUUUUCCUGUAUAACAUAAUACCGACUUGCAGCUUUUCCUCCCCCAGUCUCUGUUCUCUGGUAAGUCUUUUCAUCAAUUCUCUCUCUCUUUUUUUUUUUUUUUUUCCCCUCACUCUGAUCUAAUGUUUUUUCCUUCUUUCUAUCCAUCAAUUACAAGGAAAAAAGAAGAACUAGGCAUUUUUGUCUUCUCCCAGCCUCUACACAUCGCAAAGAGAGAGAGACGGAGACCGACCCAAAAUCAGCUUAAAACAAAAUCGUCCCCCUCAGUUGCCAUAGUUGACCAGUAUCAACCCUCUCUUCCAGAUCCUCGCUUCUAUGGGCCAAAUCACUCUCCUCGGGAGUUAUCCCCUUGACUACACCCUUCUCGGCUUUGUUACCUAGACACUCAUCCUGAGCAAUCUUUCAGCUUAAAACAUAAAAACCCAUAAAAUUUGCUUGCUGAUCCGUGAGAUUGUGUGUUUGCUUCUUUCUUUCCUGGUUUUUUAGUUUUUUUAACAAUUAUUUAAACACGAUCAGCUCAAAACACAAAAACUGACCCAAAAUCAAACUAAUGCUUUGAUUUGAUCAAUGUUAAUCAGUUUAAACUAAGGGUAGGUUAAGGCCGACUGGGUUCCUAUGAACUCCCUAUGCUAUUAUUUCGCCUUUUGGCUUAUUUUUCAUCCUAAGCUUUUUGACAUCGAUGACUAUGGUGAAGGUAUUGUAUAGAUAUGGUUUAUUAUGGCAAUCUAAGACUUGUCUAAUAAUUUUUUUUUUUUCAAUAAAAAUGACGUGGCUAAUAAGGCUAAAAAGAGAGAUAGGGUAAAGAAUAUCCAAGCCUUAGUGAUGGUAGAGAGCUAACGGUCUUCAGUUUUUUUAUUUUUUAUUAUUCCUUCCAUUAGUGUUCCUUUGAGUCUCUUGAAGCUCAUAACAGAGAGGGUGUGAAUUUUGAAAUGAUUUUUUCGUUUACUUCCCCCCCCCCCCCCCCCCCCCCUCUUCUGUUUCUGGACAUUUCUCUGCAACCAAAUAGAGAACGGUUGCGGAAAAUUUUGUAAAUAAGUUGCUUGUACUUGAGUAGUUUGAUUCAAAUCUGCUGUUGAAUUAAUUGGAUUGGAUAUUAGUUCGCUUUUCGAAAAGUGGAAGUUCAAAUCUUUGUGUUUUCAAGUUGUAUAGAAAUUUAGACAUAUAGCAUGCUUUUAGUUAAUUAUUUUUUUCAGCUUUACAAUAAUUUUGUUUAAUUAUUUUAUUUAUGAUAAGAUAACUUUAGGUGGUUUUGAUA